Molecule: ribosomal RNA, 392 nt
Filed under: uncultured bacterium
Lineage: Bacteria
Description: bacterial SSU rRNA
Rfam family: Bacterial small subunit ribosomal RNA
Source: RNAcentral
UAUUGCGCAAUGGAGGAAACUCUGACGCAGUGACGCCGCGUAUAGGAAGAAGGUUUUCGGAUUGUAAACUAUUGUCGUUAGGGAAGAAAAAAGACAGUACCUAAGGAGGAAGCUCCGGCUAACUACGUGCCAGCAGCCGCGGUAAUACGUAGGGAGCAAGCGUUAUCCGGAAUUAGUGGGUGUAAAGGGUGCGUAGACGGGAGUCUAAGUUAGUUGUGAAAGCCCUCGGCUCAACUGAGGAACUGCAACUAAAACUGGGCAUCUUGAGUGCAGGAGAGGAAAGUGGAAUUCCUAGUGUAGCGGUGAAAUGCGUAGAUAUUAGGAGGAACACCAGUGGCGAAGGCGACUUUCUGGACUGUAACUGACGUUGAGGCACGAAAGUGUGGGGAGCA